Molecule: ribosomal RNA, 497 nt
Filed under: uncultured bacterium
Lineage: Bacteria
Description: partial 16S ribosomal RNA
Rfam family: Bacterial small subunit ribosomal RNA
Source: RNAcentral
GAUGAACGCUGGCGGCGUGCCUAAUACAUGCAAGUCGAGCGAACAGACGAGGAGCUUACUCCUCUGACGUUAGCGGCGGACGGGUGAGUAACACGUGGAUAACCUACCUAUAAGACUGGGAUAACUUCGGGAAACCGGAGCUAAUACCGGAUAACAUGUUGAACCGCAUGGUUCAACAGCGAAAGACGGUCUUGCUGUCACUUAUAGAUGGAUCCGCGUCGCAUUAGCUAGUUGGUAAGGUAACGGCUUACCAAGGCAACGAUGCGUAGCCGACCUGAGAGGGUGAUCGGCCACACUGGAACUGAGACACGGUCCAGACUCCUACGGGAGGCAGCAGUAGGGAAUCUUCCGCAAUGGGCGAAAGCCUGACGGAGCAACGCCGCGUGAGUGAAGAAGGUCUUCGGAUCGUAAAACUCUGUUAUUAGGGAAGAACAAAUGUGUAAGUAACUAUGCACGUCUUGACGGUACCUAAUCAGAAAGCCACGGCUAACUACGUG